RNAcentral lists this ribosomal RNA (273 nucleotides) under uncultured prokaryote. RNAcentral's name for it is "partial 16S ribosomal RNA". It matches the Rfam family "Bacterial small subunit ribosomal RNA", at positions 524 to 796 of the family's 1533-position model. The record is from RNAcentral.
UACGUAGGAACCGAGCGUUAUCCGGAUUCACUGGGCGUAAAGCGCGUGUAGGCGGUUCUAUAAGUCGGGUGUGAAAGCUCUUGGCUUAACUAAGAGAGGUCGUCCGAUACUAUAGGGCUUGAGGUCGGGAGAGGGACGUGGAAUUCCCGGUGUAGUGGUGGAAUGCGUAGAGAUCGGGAGGAACAUCAGUGGCGAAGGCGACGUCCUGGCCCGCACCUGACGCUCAGACGCGAAAGCGUGGGUAGCGAACGGGAUUAGAAACCCGGGUAGUCC